UAAGCGUACAUAAAAUACUCCACACAUCAUUUAUGUUCUAAAAACUAAAAACAAACUCUUUUUUCUUUGACUUUUACAACAGAAACCAAGUACAUUUUUGCAUUGAUCAAUUCCACAAUUAGAUUAUAAGCUUGUAGAUUAAUGAACAUAAUUAAUAUGAAUGUUUAAUUUUGAAUUCUGUACUAUUCCUCGGGACACUUGACACAACAAUCUACCAUUAAUAUACAUUAAUUUGUGUAAAAGAAAUAUGCAUAUAGAUAAAUAUUAGUUCAAGAAGUCUGAAUCAUUUUUUGUUCUUCAAACUUCUUUAACUAAAGAGACUACUGCCAAGUUCGUUAUUCAUAAUCUUUCCUCAAACUACAUUAUAAAAUCUAUAAGUUUGAAAUCUUCUGAACUCAAUAAAUUUUCAUAAACAUGAAAUAUAAAAUACAACUAAGCUCACAUGACAAAUACUAUUAUCACAACACAAAUAAACACAUAUACAGUAAUACUAAAAAGAUGGCUACUCAAAUAUGGAACAUUGCACUACAUAUGAACUUCUGGGAAAACAUGAACAUUGCAUUAUCUGUGAUAGUUUGAGAUGGUAUACGCAGGGAUAUUUCUAAAAUUCAUUAAUAAUUGGCAAUUUUGAAAAUAAUAUACAAAUAAUCAAAUACAUUGUUCCAAUUUGAAAAAGAUAUCUGUAUAUUUGUUUUGUACAAAGCCCAAUUUCACAAACGAUAAAAAUGAUUCUGCAAUGUUCAUUUCAACACAAACCCUACUACCAUUCUUUUACACAGUGUGCUAUGAUUAUAACUAUAAAUAGCAAUAUAUCAAAACACUUAAACAUUUCCCCUUAAAAAACUAUCAGGAGCAUAUUGUAAUGAUUUUGUCUGAUACAAACUGUUGCCUAAUGAUAAUUUGAGUUUCCCUAAAUUGAUCAGGAUAAAACGUUUACAGAUUGAAGUUGAUGGGGAGGGAAAUAAUGCUAUUCAUGCUAUUGGUUCAAUGGUCAUUGGUCUAUGUCACCGUUACUAUACAAAAUGAUGGAAAAUAUUAAUUUAAAGUUUUUUGCGGGGAUAGUACACCACUAUGAUUAGGAACUCAUUUAUACGUCAAUUAAAAUAUAAGCCAAACUAGUGAAAAGUAAAAUCACAAAAAUACUGAACUCCGAGGAAAAUUCAAAACGGAAAGUCCAUAAUCACAUGGCAAAAUCAAAUGAGUAACACAUCAAACAAAUGGUCAACAACUAUCAUAUUCCUGACUUGGUAUAGGCAUUUUUAAAUGUAGAAAAUAGUGGAUUAAACCUGUUUUUUUAUAUAGUGAACAUGUAUUCGUUCCUCUAUACAUACUUAUAUGUUGAGCCCAUGAAUGGAAAAUGAUUUGUAGAUGUAACAUCAGCUGGCAGUGCUAGUGUUUUAACUUAUUUUCUCUGACAUGAUUAUUGAUAAUCUGAAAAAAAAAUCAUUCAUAGAGUAAACUUCCAAGAAAGAUAAUUCACAAAUGUUACAUUCCUUUGAAAAACAAUAUCUCUCUUUUGAAUACAGUAGCUAUAUUAUGUAUAUUGCAGUAUUGUGAUUAAAAAGGUUUGAACAUCACAAAAAGUUUGAACAUAUGAAAAUAUCAAGCUAUGUAAUUUUGAAUAUUGUCAACACAGUAUUUUACACUAGUUGUCUUUGUUUACUAUCUUACCAGUCAGAACACUUUUAAUGAAUAAUAUUAAAUCACGUUAUUAUUUGAUUUAGAGUUCGAGUAGGACAGAUAGGAAAUGUAGAAUCAGUCAAGGUUUCAACAUUUGGUCAGCUUAGAAGGUAAGAAUGUUUUUAUGACCAGUAAUGUUUCUGAAUUGCUUCAGUACAGUAUUAACACACGUUCCUUCACCUUAAACAUGUAAUAUGCAAUGUAGGAUAGGUAUGAGUGUCUAGACGUAAUUAUCUUUAUCUACAUUUUACCAUUGUGUAUCUAGAUUGCGUUGUCAUUGCUUACAUAUUCAUCGAUUCUACUGUUAACCAGCACUUCGUUAAAGGAAAUUGAUCAAAUGGUAUUUUUUUUUACCUCAAUAA
This 2042-nucleotide long non-coding RNA is filed under the name Mytilus galloprovincialis (Mediterranean mussel). The record is from RNAcentral. Lineage: Eukaryota; Metazoa; Mollusca; Bivalvia; Mytilida; Mytilidae.